AAUUCGAUUCCCUUAGUAGCGGCGAGCGAAACGGGAAGAGCCCAAACCAACAAGCUUGCUUGUUGGGGUUGUAGGACACUCUAUACGGAGUUACAAAGGACGACAUUAGACGAAUCAUCUGGAAAGAUGAAUCAAAGAAGGUAAUAAUCCUGUAGUCGAAAAUGUUGUCUCUCUUGAGUGGAUCCUGAGUACGACGGAGCACGUGAAAUUCCGUCGGAAUCUGGGAGGACCAUCUCCUAAGGCUAAAUACUCUCUAGUGACCGAUAGUGAACCAGUACCGUGAGGGAAAGGUGAAAAGCACCCCGGAAGGGGAGUGAAAUAGAACCUGAAACCGUGUGCUUACAAGUAGUCAGAGCCCGUUAAUGGGUGAUGGCGUGCCUUUUGUAGAAUGAACCGGCGAGUUACGAUUUGAUGCAAGGUUAAGCAGUAAAUGUGGAGCCGUAGCGAAAGCGAGUCUGAAUAGGGCGUUUAGUAUUUGGUCGUAGACCCGAAACCAGGUGAUCUACCCUUGGUCAGGUUGAAGUUCAGGUAACACUGAAUGGAGGACCGAACCGACUUACGUUGAAAAGUGAGCGGAUGAACUGAGGGUAGCGGAGAAAUUCCAAUCGAACCUGGAGAUAGCUGGUUCUCUCCGAAAUAGCUUUAGGGCUAGCCUCAAGUGAUGAUUAUUGGAGGUAGAGCACUGUUUGGACGAGGGGCCCCUCUCGGGUUACCGAAUUCAGACAAACUCCGAAUGCCAAUUAAUUUAACUUGGGAGUCAGAACAUGGGUGAUAAGGUCCGUGUUCGAAAGGGAAACAGCCCAGACCACCAGCUAAGGUCCCAAAAUAUAUGUUAAGUGGAAAAGGAUGUGGCGUUGCCCAGACAACUAGGAUGUUGGCUUAGAAGCAGCCAUCAUUUAAAGAGUGCGUAAUAGCUCACUAGUCGAGUGACACUGCGCCGAAAAUGUACCGGGGCUAAACAUAUUACCGAAGCUGUGGAUUGUCCUUUGGACAAUGGUAGGAGAGCGUUCUAAGGGCGUUGAAGCAUGAUCGUAAGGACAUGUGGAGCGCUUAGAAGUGAGAAUGCCGGUGUGAGUAGCGAAAGACGGGUGAGAAUCCCGUCCACCGAUUGACUAAGGUUUCCAGAGGAAGGCUCGUCCGCUCUGGGUUAGUCGGGUCCUAAGCUGAGGCCGACAGGCGUAGGCGAUGGAUAACAGGUUGAUAUUCCUGUACCACCUAUAAUCGUUUUAAUCGAUGGGGGGACGCAGUAGGAUAGGCGAAGCGUGCGAUUGGAUUGCACGUCUAAGCAGUAAGGCUGAGUAUUAGGCAAAUCCGGUACUCGUUAAGGCUGAGCUGUGAUGGGGAGAAGACAUUGUGUCUUCGAGUCGUUGAUUUCACACUGCCGAGAAAAGCCUCUAGAUAGAAAAUAGGUGCCCGUACCGCAAACCGACACAGGUAGUCAAGAUGAGAAUUCUAAGGUGAGCGAGCGAACUCUCGUUAAGGAACUCGGCAAAAUGACCCCGUAACUUCGGGAGAAGGGGUGCUCUUUAGGGUUAACGCCCAGAAGAGCCGCAGUGAAUAGGCCCAAGCGACUGUUUAUCAAAAACACAGGUCUCUGCUAAACCGUAAGGUGAUGUAUAGGGGCUGACGCCUGCCCGGUGCUGGAAGGUUAAGAGGAGUGGUUAGCUUCUGCGAAGCUACGAAUCGAAGCCCCAGUAAACGGCGGCCGUAACUAUAACGGUCCUAAGGUAGCGAAAUUCCUUGUCGGGUAAGUUCCGACCCGCACGAAAGGCGUAACGAUUUGGGCACUGUCUCAACGAGAGACUCGGUGAAAUCAUAGUACCUGUGAAGAUGCAGGUUACCCGCGACAGGACGGAAAGACCCCGUGGAGCUUUACUGUAGCCUGAUAUUGAAAUUCGGCACAGCUUGUACAGGAUAGGUAGGAGCCUUUGAAACGUGAGCGCUAGCUUACGUGGAGGCGCUGGUGGGAUACUACCCUAGCUGUGUUGGCUUUCUAACCCGCACCACUUAUCGUGGUGGGAGACAGUGUCAGGCGGGCAGUUUGACUGGGGCGGUCGCCUCCUAAAAGGUAACGGAGGCGCUCAAAGGUUCCCUCAGAAUGGUUGGAAAUCAUUCAUAGAGUGUAAAGGCAUAAGGGAGCUUGACUGCGAGACCUACAAGUCGAGCAGGGUCGAAAGACGGACUUAGUGAUCCGGUGGUUCCGCAUGGAAGGGCCAUCGCUCAACGGAUAAAAGCUACCCCGGGGAUAACAGGCUUAUCUCCCCCAAGAGUUCACAUCGACGGGGAGGUUUGGCACCUCGAUGUCGGCUCAUCGCAUCCUGGGGCUGUAGUCGGUCCCAAGGGUUGGGCUGUUCGCCCAUUAAAGCGGUACGCGAGCUGGGUUCAGAACGUCGUGAGACAGUUCGGUCCCUAUCCGUCGUGGGCGUAGGAAAUUUGAGAGGAGCUGUCCUUAGUACGAGAGGACCGGGAUGGACAUACCUCUGGUGUACCAGUUGUCGUGCCAACGGCAUAGCUGGGUAGCUAUGUGUGGACGGGAUAAGUGCUGAAAGCAUCUAAGCAUGAAGCCCCCCUCAAGAUGAGAUUUCCCAACUUCGGUUAUAAGAUCCCUCAAAGAUGAUGAGGUUAAUAGGUUCGAGGUGGAAGCAUGGUGACAUGUGGAGCUGACGAAUACUAAUCGAUCGAAGACUUAAUCAA
This 2694-nucleotide ribosomal RNA is filed under the name Staphylococcus aureus. RNAcentral's name for it is "partial 23S ribosomal RNA". It matches the Rfam family "Bacterial large subunit ribosomal RNA". Lineage: Bacteria; Bacillati; Bacillota; Bacilli; Caryophanales; Staphylococcaceae. The record is from RNAcentral.